Molecule: small RNA, 16 nt
Filed under: Arabidopsis thaliana (thale cress)
Lineage: Eukaryota; Viridiplantae; Streptophyta; Magnoliopsida; Brassicales; Brassicaceae
Description: ATSL182440
Source: RNAcentral
UUCUGCAGACAUUGAA